Molecule: ribosomal RNA, 348 nt
Filed under: uncultured bacterium
Lineage: Bacteria
Description: partial 16S ribosomal RNA
Rfam family: Bacterial small subunit ribosomal RNA
Source: RNAcentral
CCUACGGGUGGCAGCAGUGAGGAAUAUUGGUCAAUGGGCGCGAGCCUGAACCAGCCAAGUCGCGUGAGGGAAGACGGUCCUAUGUAUUGUAAACCUCUUUUGUCGGGGAGCAAAAGCCGCCACGCGUGGCGUUCCGAGAGUAACCGAAGAAAAAGCAUCGGCUAACUCCGUGCCAGCAGCCGCGGUAAUACGGAGGAUGCGAGCGUUAUCCGGAUUUAUUGGGUUUAAAGGGUGCGCAGGCGGAAGAUCAAGUCAGCGGUAAAAUUGAGAGGCACAACCGCUUCGAGCCUUUGACACUGGUGGUCGUGAGUGAGGGAGGAGUGUGGGGAAUGCGGUGUGGAGCGGUGA